UACAGGAGGAGAUUAUAUGGCCCAUAUCGAGUUCGUGUAUGGAAUGCAAAUGCAAAGGAUAAGAAUAGUUUCGUGGUCCCGUUACCAAGUCC
RNAcentral lists this microRNA precursor (92 nucleotides) under Trichophyton rubrum BMU01672. Lineage: Eukaryota; Fungi; Ascomycota; Eurotiomycetes; Onygenales; Arthrodermataceae. The record is from RNAcentral.